AUUUUUGUUAAUCCUUACACAGAGCCUGAUGAAGAGGAAGAAGAGGCCAAAGCUGAGGAGAAAGCUGAGGAUGAAGAUAAGGACAAGAUUGGGUCUUGGUAUAGCAAUCCGACCACAGGAACAGUAGAAUCUGGAUCUGCCGGUGGUGGUGGUGUUGGGAAGUACUUGAAAGCAAGGAGUGCUCUACCUGAAUCUGCUGCAGUUAAUGCUGGUUCGACGGAGCUUGCUUCAACAAAGAAAAGGAAAUUGGGAGUUUCCACAACAAACUACAAUAAUUUUUCUGCAUGGUAAUUGGUAAAUGUCCCAAAUGUUGUAUUGUACCAAAUGUAGAUAAUGUUUUGGAUGAGCGAGUAGGAAGAACAUUGUAAUCUGUUCUUUUGAGGUAUAAAAAGAGCAGAU
This is a non-coding RNA of Prunus avium (sweet cherry), 399 nucleotides long. NCBI's taxonomy places the organism in Eukaryota, Viridiplantae, Streptophyta, Magnoliopsida, Rosales, Rosaceae. The record is from RefSeq and is a predicted model, not a curated record.